GAGCACGUAGGUGGGUUUGUAAGUCAGAUGUGAAAGCCUUCUGUUCAACGGGAGAAUUGCAUCUGAAACUGCUAAUCUUGAGUAUAGGAGGGGAGAAUGGAACUUCUGGUGGAGCGGUGAAAUGCGUAGAUAUCAGAAGGAACGCCGGCGGCGAAAGCGAUUCUCUGGCCUAUUACUGACACUCAGUGUGCGAAAGCUAGGGGAGCAAACGGGAUUAGAUACCCCGGUAGUCCUAGCUGUAAACGAUGGGCACUAAGUAGAGGGGUUUUAA
RNAcentral lists this ribosomal RNA (271 nucleotides) under uncultured anaerobic ammonium-oxidizing bacterium. RNAcentral describes it as "partial 16S ribosomal RNA". It matches the Rfam family "Bacterial small subunit ribosomal RNA", at positions 565 to 834 of the family's 1533-position model. The record is from RNAcentral.